Molecule: ribosomal RNA, 2702 nt
Filed under: Escherichia coli
Lineage: Bacteria; Pseudomonadati; Pseudomonadota; Gammaproteobacteria; Enterobacterales; Enterobacteriaceae
Description: partial 23S ribosomal RNA
Rfam family: Bacterial large subunit ribosomal RNA
Source: RNAcentral
UGAAACAUCUAAGUACCCCGAGGAAAAGAAAUCAACCGAGAUUCCCCCAGUAGCGGCGAGCGAACGGGGAGCAGCCCAGAGCCUGAAUCAGUGUGUGUGUUAGUGGAAGCGUCUGGAAAGGCGCGCGAUACAGGGUGACAGCCCCGUACACAAAAAUGCACAUACUGUGAGCUCGAUGAGUAGGGCGGGACACGUGGUAUCCUGUCUGAAUAUGGGGGGACCAUCCUCCAAGGCUAAAUACUCCUGACUGACCGAUAGUGAACCAGUACCGUGAGGGAAAGGCGAAAAGAACCCCGGCGAGGGGAGUGAAAAAGAACCUGAAACCGUGUACGUACAAGCAGUGGGAGCACGCUUAGGCGUGUGACUGCGUACCUUUUGUAUAAUGGGUCAGCGACUUAUAUUCUGUAGCAAGGUUAACCGAAUAGGGGAGCCGAAGGGAAACCGAGUCUUAACUGGGCGUUAAGUUGCAGGGUAUAGACCCGAAACCCGGUGAUCUAGCCAUGGGCAGGUUGAAGGUUGGGUAACACUAACUGGAGGACCGAACCGACUAAUGUUGAAAAAUUAGCGGAUGACUUGUGGCUGGGGGUGAAAGGCCAAUCAAACCGGGAGAUAGCUGGUUCUCCCCGAAAGCUAUUUAGGUAGCGCCUCGUGAAUUCAUCUCCGGGGGUAGAGCACUGUUUCGGCAAGGGGGUCAUCCCGACUUACCAACCCGAUGCAAACUGCGAAUACCGGAGAAUGUUAUCACGGGAGACACACGGCGGGUGCUAACGUCCGUCGUGAAGAGGGAAACAACCCAGACCGCCAGCUAAGGUCCCAAAGUCAUGGUUAAGUGGGAAACGAUGUGGGAAGGCCCAGACAGCCAGGAUGUUGGCUUAGAAGCAGCCAUCAUUUAAAGAAAGCGUAAUAGCUCACUGGUCGAGUCGGCCUGCGCGGAAGAUGUAACGGGGCUAAACCAUGCACCGAAGCUGCGGCAGCGACGCUGAUGCGUUGUUGGGUAGGGGAGCGUUCUGUAAGCCUGUGAAGGUGUGCUGUGAGGCAUGCUGGAGGUAUCAGAAGUGCGAAUGCUGACAUAAGUAACGAUAAAGCGGGUGAAAAGCCCGCUCGCCGGAAGACCAAGGGUUCCUGUCCAACGUUAAUCGGGGCAGGGUGAGUCGACCCCUAAGGCGAGGCCGAAAGGCGUAGUCGAUGGGAAACAGGUUAAUAUUCCUGUACUUGGUGUUACUGCGAAGGGGGGACGGAGAAGGCUAUGUUGGCCGGGCGACGGUUGUCCCGGUUUAAGCGUGUAGGCUGGUUUUCCAGGCAAAUCCGGAAAACUAAGGCUGAGGCGUGAUGACGAGGCACUACGGUGCUGAAGCAACAAAUGCCCUGCUUCCAGGAAAAGCCUCUAAGCAUCAGGUAACAUCAAAUCGUACCCCAAACCGACACAGGUGGUCAGGUAGAGAAUACCAAGGCGCUUGAGAGAACUCGGGUGAAGGAACUAGGCAAAAUGGUGCCGUAACUUCGGGAGAAGGCACGCUGAUAUGUAGGUGAAGCGACUUGCUCGUGGAGCUGAAAUCAGUCGAAGAUACCAGCUGGCUGCAACUGUUUAUUAAAAACACAGCACUGUGCAAACACGAAAGUGGACGUAUACGGUGUGACGCCUGCCCGGUGCCGGAAGGUUAAUUGAUGGGGUCAGCGCAAGCGAAGCUCUUGAUCGAAGCCCCGGUAAACGGCGGCCGUAACUAUAACGGUCCUAAGGUAGCGAAAUUCCUUGUCGGGUAAGUUCCGACCUGCACGAAUGGCGUAAUGAUGGCCAGGCUGUCUCCACCCGAGACUCAGUGAAAUUGAACUCGCUGUGAAGAUGCAGUGUACCCGCGGCAAGACGGAAAGACCCCGUGAACCUUUACUAUAGCUUGACACUGAACAUUGAGCCUUGAUGUGUAGGAUAGGUGGGAGGCUUUGAAGUGUGGACGCCAGUCUGCAUGGAGCCGACCUUGAAAUACCACCCUUUAAUGUUUGAUGUUCUAACGUUGACCCGUGAUCCGGGUUGCGGACAGUGUCUGGUGGGUAGUUUGACUGGGGCGGUCUCCUCCUAAAGAGUAACGGAGGAGCACGAAGGUUGGCUAAUCCUGGUCGGACAUCAGGAGGUUAGUGCAAUGGCAUAAGCCAGCUUGACUGCGAGCGUGACGGCGCGAGCAGGUGCGAAAGCAGGUCAUAGUGAUCCGGUGGUUCUGAAUGGAAGGGCCAUCGCUCAACGGAUAAAAGGUACUCCGGGGAUAACAGGCUGAUACCGCCCAAGAGUUCAUAUCGACGGCGGUGUUUGGCACCUCGAUGUCGGCUCAUCACAUCCUGGGGCUGAAGUAGGUCCCAAGGGUAUGGCUGUUCGCCAUUUAAAGUGGUACGCGAGCUGGGUUUAGAACGUCGUGAGACAGUUCGGUCCCUAUCUGCCGUGGGCGCUGGAGAACUGAGGGGGGCUGCUCCUAGUACGAGAGGACCGGAGUGGACGCAUCACUGGUGUUCGGGUUGUCAUGCCAAUGGCACUGCCCGGUAGCUAAAUGCGGAAGAGAUAAGUGCUGAAAGCAUCUAAGCACGAAACUUGCCCCGAGAUGAGUUCUCCCUGACUCCUUGAGAGUCCUGAAGGAACGUUGAAGACGACGACGUUGAUAGGCCGGGUGUGUAAGCGCAGCGAUGCGUUGAGCUAACCGGUACUAAUGAACCGUGAG